This 492-nucleotide ribosomal RNA is filed under the name uncultured bacterium. RNAcentral's name for it is "partial 16S ribosomal RNA". It matches the Rfam family "Bacterial small subunit ribosomal RNA", at positions 29 to 507 of the family's 1533-position model. The record is from RNAcentral.
AGUGAACGCUGGCGGUAGGCCUAACACAUGCCGGUCGAACGGCAGCACAGUAAGAGCUUGCUCUUACGGGUGGCGAGUGGCGGACGGGUGAGGAAUACAUCGGAAUCUACUUUUUCGUGGGGGAUAACGUAGGGAAACUUCCGCUAAUACCGCAUACGACCUACGGGUGAAAGCAGGGGAUCUUCGCACCUUGCGCGAUUGAAUGAGCCGAUGUCGGAUUAGCUAGUUGGCGGGGUAAAGGCCCACCAAGGCGACGAUACGUAGCUGGUCUGAGAGGAUGAUCAGCCACACUGGAACUGAGACACGGUCCAGACUCCUACGGGAGGCAGCAGUGGGGAAUAUUGGACAAUGGGCGCAAGCCUGAUCCAGCCAUACCGCGUGGGUGAAGAAGGCCUUCGGGUCGUAAAGCCCUGUUGUUGGGAAAGAAAAGCAGCAGGUUAAUACCCCGCUGUUCUGACGGUACCCAAAGAAUAAGCACCGGCUAACUUCGUG